This 95-nucleotide microRNA precursor is filed under the name Paramuricea clavata. Lineage: Eukaryota; Metazoa; Cnidaria; Anthozoa; Malacalcyonacea; Plexauridae. The record is from RNAcentral.
AACUCAACUGUUUGACAAUAGUCAUGCUUUAUAUAUUGUUUUAUAGAACAAUAUUAUCAAUAUAUAAAGCAUGACUAUUGUCAAACAGUUGAGUU